UGGGAAGUAUUGCACAAUGGGAAGACCUUGAUGCAGCGACGCCGCGUGAGUGAAGAAGUAUUUCGGUAUGUAAAGCUCUAUCAGCAGGGAAGAUGAUGACGGUACCUGAGUAAGAAGCCCCGCGACAUACGUGCCAGCAGCCGCGGUAAUACGUAGGGGGCGAAGCGUUAUCCGGAUUUACUGGGUGUAAAGGGAGCGUAGACGGCAUGGCAAGUCUGAAGUGAAAGCCCGGGGCUCAACCGCGGGACUGCUUUGGAAACUGUUAAGCUGGAGUGCAGGAGAGGUAAGUGGAAUUCCUAGUGUAGCGGUGAAAUGCGUAGAUAUUAGGAGGAACACCAGUGGCGAAGGCGGCUUGCUGGACGAUGACUGACGUUGAGGCUCGAAAGCGUGGGGAGCAAACAGGAUUUAGAUACCCC
RNAcentral lists this ribosomal RNA (416 nucleotides) under uncultured bacterium. RNAcentral's name for it is "bacterial SSU rRNA". It matches the Rfam family "Bacterial small subunit ribosomal RNA", at positions 355 to 788 of the family's 1533-position model. The record is from RNAcentral.